This 440-nucleotide ribosomal RNA is filed under the name uncultured Planctomycetota bacterium. Its description in RNAcentral is "bacterial SSU rRNA". It matches the Rfam family "Bacterial small subunit ribosomal RNA", at positions 401 to 832 of the family's 1533-position model. The record is from RNAcentral. Lineage: Bacteria; Pseudomonadati; Planctomycetota.
UGUGGGAAGAAGGCCUUCGGGUUGUAAACCACUGUCGGGAGUUAAGAAGUGCAAGGGUGCGAAUAGCGCCUUUGCUUGACUGAGGCUCCAGAGGAAGCCACGGCUAACUCUGUGCCAGCAGCCGCGGUAAUACAGAGGUGGCAAGCGUUGUUCGGAAUUAUUGGGCGUAAAGAGCACGUAGGCGGUUCUGCAAGUCGGCUGUGAAAGCCUUCCGCUCAACGGAAGAACAGCAGUUGAUACUACAGGACUAGAGUGCGGGAGGGGAGAGUGGAACUUCUGGUGGAGCGGUGAAAUGCGUAGAUAUCAGAAGGAACACCGGCGGCGAAGGCGACUCUCUGGUCCGUAACUGACGCUGAGUGUGCGAAAGCUAGGGGAGCAAACGGGAUUAGAUACCCCGGUAGUCCUAGCCGUAAACGAUGGGCACUAAGUAGAGGGGUUUU